RNAcentral lists this ribosomal RNA (416 nucleotides) under uncultured beta proteobacterium. RNAcentral describes it as "bacterial SSU rRNA". It matches the Rfam family "Bacterial small subunit ribosomal RNA", at positions 9 to 429 of the family's 1533-position model. The record is from RNAcentral. Lineage: Bacteria; Pseudomonadati; Pseudomonadota; Betaproteobacteria.
GAGUUUGAUCGUGGCUCAGAUUGAACGCUGGCGGCAUGCUUUACACAUGCAAGUCGAACGGCAGCACGGGGGCAACCCUGGUGGCGAGUGGCGAACGGGUGAGUAAUGCAUCGGAACGUGCCCAGUAGUGGGGGAUAACACAUCGAAAGAUGUGCUAAUACCGCAUACGCACUACGGUGGAAAGCGGGGGAUCGUAAGACCUCGCGCUAUUGGAGCGGCCGAUGUCCGAUUAGCUAGUUGGUGGGGUAAUGGCCUACCAAGGCAACGAUCGGUAGCUGGUCUGAGAGGAUGAUCAGCCACACUGGGACUGAGACACGGCCCAGACUCCUACGGGAGGCAGCAGUGGGGAAUUUUGGACAAUGGGCGCAAGCCUGAUCCAGCCAUGCCGCGUGAGUGAAGAAGGCCUCGGUUGUAAG